CCUANGGGAGGCUGCAGUCGAGAAUUUUUCACAAUGGGCGAAAGCCUGAUGGAGCGACGCCGCGUGGGGGAUGAAUGGCUUCGGCCCGUAAACCCCUGUCAUUUGCGAACAAACCUUGUUAUUUAAAAGAUGGCAAGUUGAUAGUAGCGAAAGAGGAAGGGACGGCUAACUCUGUGCCAGCAGCCGCGGUAAAACGUAGGUGGCGAGCGUUAUCCGGAUUCACUGGGCGUAAAGCGCCUGCAGGCGGUCUCGUAAGUGGGAUGUGAAAUCUCCCGGCUUAACUGGGAGGGGCCAUUCCAUACUGCGGGACUUGAGGGCAGAAGAGGGAAGCGGAAUUCCCGGUGUAGUGGUGAAAUGCGUAGAUAUCGGGAGGAACACCAGUGGCGAAGGCGGCUUCCUGGCCUGCUCCUGACGCUAAGAGGCGAAAGCUAGGGGAGCGAACGGGAUUAGAUACCCCGNUANUC
RNAcentral lists this ribosomal RNA (464 nucleotides) under uncultured bacterium. RNAcentral's name for it is "bacterial SSU rRNA". It matches the Rfam family "Bacterial small subunit ribosomal RNA", at positions 338 to 795 of the family's 1533-position model. The record is from RNAcentral.